This 206-nucleotide ribosomal RNA is filed under the name uncultured Veillonella sp. Its description in RNAcentral is "partial 16S ribosomal RNA". It matches the Rfam family "Bacterial small subunit ribosomal RNA", at positions 568 to 774 of the family's 1533-position model. The record is from RNAcentral. Lineage: Bacteria; Bacillati; Bacillota; Negativicutes; Veillonellales; Veillonellaceae.
CGCGCAGGCGGAUCUGCCAGUCUGUCUUAAAAGUUCGGGGCUUAACCCCGUGAUGGGAUGGAAACUACAGAUCUAGAGUAUCGGAGAGGAAAGUGGAAUUCCUAGUGUAGCGGUGAAAUGCGUAGAUAUUAGGAAGAACACCAGUGGCGAAGGCGACUUUCUGGACGAAAACUGACGCUGAGGCGCGAAAGCCAGGGGAGCGAACA